UUCGUCAUUCGAAUCCCGGGAACA
This 24-nucleotide non-coding RNA is filed under the name Arabidopsis thaliana (thale cress). The record is from RNAcentral. Lineage: Eukaryota; Viridiplantae; Streptophyta; Magnoliopsida; Brassicales; Brassicaceae.